UAAAGAUAAAGUGUGAUCGUGGAA
RNAcentral lists this non-coding RNA (24 nucleotides) under Arabidopsis thaliana (thale cress). The record is from RNAcentral. Lineage: Eukaryota; Viridiplantae; Streptophyta; Magnoliopsida; Brassicales; Brassicaceae.